GUCGUUUGUUAAUGUGUUACAUAUUUGUUUUUCGUUCAUUUUUGUUACAUAAAUAAGGCCGUUAGUUUUCUCGUUUGAAUUGUUUUACAUUGUCUUAUCGGGGCCUUUUAUAUCUGACUAUGCGGUAUGGGCUUUGCUCAUUGUUGAAGGCCGUACGGUGACCUACAGUUGUUAAUGUCUGUGUCAUUUUGGUCUUUUGUGGAUAGUUGUCUCAUUGGCAAUCAUACCACAUCUUUAUUUUUAUA
RNAcentral lists this long non-coding RNA (245 nucleotides) under Mytilus galloprovincialis (Mediterranean mussel). Lineage: Eukaryota; Metazoa; Mollusca; Bivalvia; Mytilida; Mytilidae. The record is from RNAcentral.